RNAcentral lists this ribosomal RNA (447 nucleotides) under uncultured bacterium. RNAcentral describes it as "bacterial SSU rRNA". It matches the Rfam family "Bacterial small subunit ribosomal RNA", at positions 329 to 793 of the family's 1533-position model. The record is from RNAcentral.
UGCCAGACUCCUACGGGAGGCAGCAGUGGGGAAUAUUGCACAAUGGGGGAAACCCUGAUGCAGCAACGCCGCGUGAGUGAAGAAGUAUUUCGGUAUGUAAAGCUCUAUCAGCAGGGAAGAGAAUGACGGUACCUGACUAAGAAGCCCCGGCUAACUACGUGCCAGCAGCCGCGGUAAUACGUAGGGGGCGAGCGUUAUCCGGAUUUACUGGGUGUAAAGGGAGCGUAGACGGCAAUGCAAGCCAGAUGUGAAAGCCCGGGGCUCAACCCCGGGACUGCAUUUGGAACUGUGUAGCUGGAGUGUCGGAGAGGCAGGCGGAAUUCCUAGUGUAGCGGUGAAAUGCGUAGAUAUUAGGAGGAACACCAGUGGCGAAGGCGGAUGACUGGACGGCAACUGACGGUGAGGCGCGAAAGCGUGGGGAGCAAACAGGAUUAGAUACCCGCGUAC